UGGCUUCAUGUGACAGACUGUCACUGUGAGAAAGGAGUUCCUGUUUAUGAGUUUCAAUAAAGUCCUGAGAAGACUUGCCCUGUAAGUUUGGUGAACUCAAGAACCAAGUGUCAUUGACUUCUACAGUCAUGCUUCCUGACAGCUGUUCAGUUCUUCUGUUCCUCUUGAUGUUCAGGAUGAGCAAUGGAGACUCAGUGACCCAGACAGAAGGCCUGGUUACUGUCACAGAGGGGUCACCUGUGAUGCUGAACUGUACCUAUCAGACUACUGAUUCAGCCCCUUAUGUUUUCUGGUAUGUGCAAUAUAUCAACAAAGCCCCUCAACUACUCCUGAAGGGAUUCACAGACAAGAAGAGGACAGAAUACCAAGGGUUCCACGCCACUCUCCAUAAGAGCAACAGCUCCUUCCACCUGCAGAAGUCCUCGGUGCAGCUGUCAGACUCUGCCCUGUACUACUGUGCUCUGAGUGACACAGUGAGGGAGACUGCAGGGGAAGCUGCACACAAACCAAGGGUACAGGAGGGCUGAGGGGGUGGACCUGUGAGGGAGAGCUGAGUAUGUCUCUAAGUGGGGUUUGCUCAGCCUCCAGAAGAACAGCAACAAAUUUCAGAUCAAAGUCCCAGAAACCUAGGAAUAUGUGGAUUUUU
Molecule: non-coding RNA, 646 nt
Organism: Alexandromys fortis (reed vole)
Lineage: Eukaryota; Metazoa; Chordata; Mammalia; Rodentia; Cricetidae
Source: the annotation of a RefSeq genome assembly